AGCCUGUGAUGACAGAGAAGCUGCCCCAGGUUGUGGAGGCUGUGCAGUGUCUGAGCAGUGACCCCAGGACACAGGUGAGGAGGGCCAUUCUGCUUUUCAUCAAGGAUGUGCUCAGUGUUAAUGCCUGGAGCUGCUCAGCCUGGGAUGUGGUGGGGCACAUCUUCAGUGAGUUCAGCCGCACCACGGGAAGAAGGGUAAGGACAGUGGGCAGCAUCUUCCUUUGGAAGACCCGUGCUGCUCAGAGGCUGGCACAGAAACACCAGUGGGGCCACACCUGAGCUUAUGAGAGGCUCCUGAGAACUGAGAGUAAGCAGUGUUCUCCCAGAUCUCCAAGAGCUGUGUAUGGACAUCCUGGGGUCACUGGAUGUCUCUGUGAGAGGGAUCACCAAACUCCUGUGGCCGCAGCUGCUGCUGUAUGUGGUGCCAGCCCAGUACACCGGCAUGCUGAUCCCAGUCUCCCGCUGUGUCCAAGCCCUGGCUGAGAGAGGGGACCUGACAGUGCGGGACAUAGAAGAACUGGAUCCCCAUUUCCUCAACUCCAUGUUUCAAGGCCCACUGCUGACUCCCCAGACACUGCUGGCACGCCUGUUGGUGGUGGCAGGGAGCCCUUUUGCAGGCAGUGAACUCCAAGCUGCUGCCUUGCUGCUCAUGCGAAACCUCCACAGCAGGAUCCACAGAGCUGUGGGGGCCACGUGGGCUGCUGAGAUCCCCCUGCUGCUGCAGUGCCUUGAAGGUAAAGUGCUGGUGGGGAGGGAGAGGAGGAGGCAGGGAAGGUUUCACCCUUCCCUCCGAUUUCACCCUAGGGGGGUGGGAGGCUUCCUGGUCUUCAUCAGUACUGGAGUGCUGCCCCACCAGUGCAAGUUCAGCUACAACCCCAUGCACAUGCUGGUGGCAGAUGAUGGCCACUGCUGA
RNAcentral lists this long non-coding RNA (912 nucleotides) under Coturnix japonica (Japanese quail). RNAcentral describes it as "lncRNA (ENSCJPG00005016905.1)". The record is from RNAcentral. Lineage: Eukaryota; Metazoa; Chordata; Aves; Galliformes; Phasianidae.